RNAcentral lists this ribosomal RNA (264 nucleotides) under Enterococcus faecalis. Its description in RNAcentral is "partial 16S ribosomal RNA". It matches the Rfam family "Bacterial small subunit ribosomal RNA", at positions 298 to 554 of the family's 1533-position model. Lineage: Bacteria; Bacillati; Bacillota; Bacilli; Lactobacillales; Enterococcaceae. The record is from RNAcentral.
GGGUGAUCGGCCACACUGGGACUGAGACACGGCCCAGACUCCUACGGGAGGCAGCAGUAGGGAAUCUUCGGCAAUGGACGAAAGUCUGACCGAGCAACGCCGCGUGAGUGAAGAAGGUUUUCGGAUCGUAAAACUCUGUUGUUAGAGAAGAACAAGGACGUUAGUAACUGAACGUCCCCUGACGGUAUCUAACCAGAAAGCCACGGCUAACUACGUGCCAGCAGCCGCGGUAAUACGUAGGUGGCAAGCGUUGUCCGGAUUUAU